ACAGAGGCUCCUGAUACAGCAUCCAAUGGAAUUCAGAAUUUGACAUGUCAUGUAUGCAGCACAGAUGAUAGUGAUGCAACAGACUUCUGUUAUGCUGGUGGGAUUCUACUGACUUUGGAGGGAUCCACUGAGAUGUGUAUGGUUGGAGAGAGUUGUCUGACAUUAAAGACUUCGAACAUAACACACACAUCCAUCGUCCGCCAAUGCGCCUCUACAGCUAUGUAUUGUGACAAUGCGGACAUGCCAUCCAUGUCCUGCAAACACGCUCAACCUACAGGAGGAAUACACAUGAGUGAGUGCCACAGAUGCUGUUCAACCGACUAUUGUAAUCUGGACGCUGGUUCAUCAGAUUGCCGACCCAUUCCUUCUCUCUUAUUACUGCUAGCUACUAUUUUCAUGACCUUGGCAAUAUGAGCAUGAAAUACCCAUCUAAACAUCCUGGCUAAACAUGGACGUUUUCAUAUAUUUUUCCCGUGUCGAUCGGUAUUUAUGUACUGGGGAAAGACUUCGUGAGGAAUAGAUAAAAAAUGCGAGCGCGAAGCGCGAUCUGAAAUAAACGGAUCUUUAUGCCCAUGUAGGGAAAUAAUUUGCUAUGAUAGGACCAAAGGCCUAAUUGUACUCUUUUGUUAUUUUUGUAUGAUGCUGUUUAAACACUAUUAACUGUUUUUAAGACCAUUUUUGCUGUACCCAUUCAAUUCCUCUCUUGACAACAUGACACUUAAUUAGCAGAAACUAGUUUAAACAUGAAUAAGUUGGAAUAACAGAUGUGGGUAUACUUUGAGAAGAAUUGUAAUGUCGUAAUACUCAUUCUUUAAAAAAAAGGGGUUUGUUUUUCGAAAUGAAAUAUA
This is a long non-coding RNA of Lytechinus variegatus (green sea urchin), 848 nucleotides long. RefSeq lists it as uncharacterized. Lineage: Eukaryota; Metazoa; Echinodermata; Echinoidea; Temnopleuroida; Toxopneustidae. The record is from RefSeq and is a predicted model, not a curated record. The transcript is spliced from 3 exons.